This 528-nucleotide ribosomal RNA is filed under the name uncultured bacterium. Its description in RNAcentral is "bacterial SSU rRNA". It matches the Rfam family "Bacterial small subunit ribosomal RNA", at positions 777 to 1301 of the family's 1533-position model. The record is from RNAcentral.
AAUAGAUACCCCCGGUAGUCCACGCCGUAAACGAUGAGUGCUAAGUGUUAGAGGGUUUCCGCCCUUUAGUGCUGCAGCUAACGCAUUGAGCACUCCGCCUGGGGAGUACGGUCGCAAGACUGAAACUCAAAGGAAUUGACGGGGGCCCGCACAAGCGGUGGAGCAUGUGGUUUAAUUCGAAGCAACGCGAAGAACCUUACCAGGUCUUGACAUCCCACUGACCGGUAUAGAGAUAUACCUUUCCCUUCGGGGACAGUGGUGACAGGUGGUGCAUGGUUGUCGUCAGCUCGUGUCGUGAGAUGUUGGGUUAAGUCCCGCAACGAGCGCAACCCUUGAUCUUAGUUGCCAGCAUUUAGUUGGGCACUCUAAGGUGACUGCCGGUGACAAACCGGAGGAAGGUGGGGAUGACGUCAAAUCAUCAUGCCCCUUAUGACCUGGGCUACACACGUGCUACAAUGGAUGGUACAAAGGGCUGCAAGACUGCGAAGUCAAGCCAAUCCCAUAAAACCCAUUCUCAGUUCGGAUUGC